Non-coding RNA from Bactrocera oleae (olive fruit fly), 10852 nucleotides. NCBI's taxonomy places the organism in Eukaryota, Metazoa, Arthropoda, Insecta, Diptera, Tephritidae. The record is from RefSeq and is a predicted model, not a curated record.
AACAUUUUCCCGUUUAUUCGCAAUGCUUAAGUGGCGAAAACAUCAAAACCAGAAGCCUUUUCCGGUCCUCUAAACUCCUUACUAAUCCACUGCUACUAUCAUAACAAGGCCUUAUUUUUACACCUCGACUAGCAGUGAUUCUAUCAACAAAACCUCUCAAUCACACGUUGCAAAACGUUUUUCCAUCAGAAAUCAGCUCCAAACACAGCUCGAUUAUUGCAGUAAAUAAUACCGCAAAGGAAAUGCCUACUAUGACGCACGUUCUCGAACGUCGACGCUUGCAACGCUACUCACUCGAUAACCAACUUGAAACGCAUUCACCACGUCGUGUCCGCCACUCUCUUACGAGCGCCGCUAAUAAAGAAAACUUCGGCGUUCAUUUUACACGAAGCCCUUUCGGCAAUACCUCGCUCACUGCAUUUCAGGACCUCAGCAAUGGGAAAAGUCCUUUGCGAGUCGAUUAUACACCAACUCGUCCACCCUUGCGUUGCCAAACUCAAGGCAAUAUGAAUUUAAACGUUAAACGUCGCAGCGGUACCCCAACCUCGCGCAGUCGUUUUUCGGACGAUUUUGUCAAUCCGGAGCCGCAGGAUACACCAUUAAGUCACUUGCGUUUCCGUAGCGCUUCCCGUGACGAUUCACUUUCUUCUUCGCGUAUGGGCGACGUAACACUUGACCGUAUGUUAGAUGCGAUUAUUGAGAGUGCGCGUAAGGAUGUAAAACAUGUGCAUGUGGUUAACCCCAGAGAUAGCGCUCAGCAGCAUGGGGUAAAAAGCGCGUUAAGAAGCUCUUCGCCUACUGUUGUUAGCGACAGUGAAAUCAGCGUACAUGAAAUGGAAGUGCGUACCCCGACACAUCUCAAGCGCCAACGUGUUGUACGGCGUAAGAAUACCAAAACCACGGAGUCCCGACGCAAAAUAGAUUCAAAAGAAGCGAAAUCAAUUGGAAAUGUGACUCCGCCACCACCACAACCGCAAUCUAUAAUCGGUGUUCCACUAACCGACGAUGCGCAUAGUCCGGACACACCACUUUUUAAGCCAAGUGCCGCGACUAACGCAGAGCUAUUGGCAAUGCAAACGCCACCAAAUUCAACAGAAAUCGUCGAUACUCUCACGACCACAGCAAUGGCCGGCGCAAGGACAGUAGAAGCUCAGUCGCAGCAGCGCUGCUCAACACCGACGUUAGAGGAGACACAUUCGAUUAAGCGUUGCCUAAGCUUUUCAUCGACGAGCGAUGACGAAUACGAUGUGGAUUUUAGCAACGCUGCGAAACGCAGUUCUGUGGCAUCAUCCAAUACAAGCUCCACAAUGGGCGAUCACUUCGGUUCGGGACAAACUUCACGACAUUCUCAGGGCUCAUGGAAAGCUGCUAACAGUGCUGCAGUGCGCGGCCACGUAGAACUAUCCAUACAAGUGGAGCAACAACAAUUAAAUGUACAUGUAAUACGUUGUCGCGAUCUGCAGCGACCCAAUGGUUCAACUGCUCUGAAUGCUUACGUUAAGGUUGCGUUGAUACGCAACAAGCCGGCUUCUAAGAAAAUGGACAACCACUUUCAACGCACCGCUGUGCACAGGCAUUCGAGUCGUCCGUACUUUGAUCAUCGCUUCAAGUUCGAUUUGGGCGCGAAACCACAAACACAGCAGCAAACUAAAACUGAUGUUGCUGGCGAACGUCUACAGCUGGCCGUGUGGCACCGAGAUCGUCAACUAAAACGCAGCGAGUUUUUAGGAUGCAUGUCCUUUCCUCUACACACAUUACUGCAGCAACCUGUUAAUGGAUUCUAUAAACUACAAUCGCAGGCAUGUCUGAAUAAACCACAGUCGCCAAUAUUAUUGCAGUAUCCGGUAGGAGUUACACACACAGCACAAGUCCACAGCCAGACUCAUCAAACCCCGAGCCCAAAGUUACGCAACAACCAAAAUCAUAGUAGCAACGAUAAAUUCAUUCACUUAAAUUCCCACUUGCAGCCCCAGACAGCUGUGCCAGAGACAAGUGUCGCCAACGCCGUACGCACAAUGACAUCAACUCUGACAAGACAGAAAAGCGAAGAGGAUGUCAUGAGCAUCGACAGCAUGGCUCAGGCGACAGCUGGCAACAAUAUCGAGCACCCGAUGACAUUGAGCCGGAAGGCUUUGCAUCAGCGUGAUGCCGAUGAGAAUCUGUUUUUACGUUUCCUCGAGUUGGACCCACCCACAGAUACAGCUGCGACCACAAAUGCCGCCAGUGCCACACCGUCCGCUUCGGGCGGGCGACGUCUGUCUGCCACUAGUAAAUCCGUUGGUCGUACACCAUUCACUAUGACUAAAAAACUGACGCGUACUGCCGAGCGUGGCUUCGGAUUUUCCAUUGUGUGGACACAUCCACCGCGUGUCGAAAAGAUUGAACCAGGUCUUUCUGCUGAUCGGGCUGGCAUACAACCGGGCGACUAUGUGAUUUUUGUAGACAAACAAAAUGUAGUAACGAUGCCAGAAGCGGAUGUGCUCAACCUAAUACGUUCACAAGGCUCUACGCUGACGCUAGAGGUUUUUAGACGAACCGGACCCACAGGAGGUGUAGGACUCGGCUCUAUGCCACCAGCGCUCAGUGUUGGCAGCCGCGGCCAUCCACCUGCACCGGUGAUGAAUGGAAAAGCUACACCAAAUACACGGUUAGCUAGUACCAUAAGCGAUGAGCAGCAGUCAGUUACUGGUGGCCCAACGCUUUCAGCACGCCGUGUCGGCGUUCCGAGUACAGCGCCAAUAUCAGCUGCAGCACCAGCAACAACAAUUGCUGUAACGAACGUACGUCCGUCCACAGCAUGCUCCGGUGGCACUACCUCGUCCAUUGAGGCCGCGAAACGGCGGCUGCACUUACCGCAGGUUACGUUCAGCAAGGAGUCUAUCGGGCCGAUUACAGAUAACCGUCGCCGCUUACUGUUGCAACUGAUCAGCCGCGAACAGAACUUUAUCGCAGCGCUGCACUUCGGCAUGCAGCGAUUCGUUCAGCCAUUGCAAGACCGCAAAGAUCUCAUCUCGCCAAAUGAUCAUCGAACACUCUUUCAGAAUAUUGACGAGCUUUUGCGCAUCUCCGAGGAUAUACUGGAACAGCUGUGCAAUGAUGAUCAGGAACCACAAAUGAACUUUGCUUCCCGUGUUUAUCUCUCGAAAACCACAGCUAUUUGUGCGGCUUACAAAAAGUAUUGCAAUGGCAUCAAGCGAGCUGACUGUGUGCUAGUGAACAAGUCACGACAAAUGGGCUCGGAGUUUGUUGCCUUCAUUACAGAACCUCAAGUGCCGCGAAAACGCCCAGACCUUACGAUGUUUAUUCAUAGACCCUUGCAGCAUUUUCGUGAAAUAUUGAAGCUAAUGCAACUGCUCGCUUCCAACUGUCAUGUCGAUACCGAGGAACAUAAAAAUUUCACUACUGUAAUCGCUGAGCUUCAGGCAGCGUAUCGCGAGAUUACUGUCAGCAGUGGCUUAAUGGAGCCACUUGGCGAAGGCCGGCCUUUGCUCACGUUGCAAGAUCUCGAGUCCCGCAUGGUCUUCACUAAGUGCAAACCAUUCACGCUGGCCGUACAGGGACGCCAAUGGAUAUUUGGUGGUGAUCUGUCACGCGUGGAAGGCCGCUCCGUGAAACCCUACUGGACCUUGCUCUUUAGUGAUAUCAUCGUGUUUGCAAAGGUCAGCCGAGACCGCGUGUUAUUCAUAACCGAGGAGCCCAUUCCUAUCGCAAAUAUUGUAGAUUCCUGUUUUCAUAUGCGUAAAAAAACCACAGAGUUCCGUCUUACAGUGGAUCCGAACGGACGCUUGGCCGAGAGUCCAACCGGCUAUUGUGCACCGGACCUCACUCGCACACCCAAGAAAAGUGCUCGUCGAAAGAGUCUUCUGCUGCGAGCGCCCUCUUUAGAGCUAAAAGCUGUCUGGCAGAACCUCUUACAACGUCAAAUUUUUUUGGUAAAUGCCGCACUUGGAUCGACACCCCUCUCAAGUCCACUAGAUUCUCCCGAUGUGCUUAAUACUCUAGUGCCACUGAGUGAUAUCGGAAUUGCGUCUGCAUCUAUUGGUUCGAUCAAGCACUCAUCCAUGGACAGCAUUAACGCAAAAAACAGUCAACAACAGCAGAAACGCCAUUCGAAUGCAUCGGAGCAAAUCGAAAUGUUAAUUGAUGAAAAGUGUCGCAUCCUAAACAAGACUGGCACUUCCAAGUCGAAUGCUCUUCAUCUUGCCAAUUGGAUGAAAGGUCAGCUGGAUAAACAACAGGAGCAAGCGAGACUGGCAGCGCAGCGCUCACGCGAGAAUAUCAGUCACGAAGAGGAGCACUUACUUUAUCCGGAGACUGAUCAAGAUGAGCGUAUAACCUUUUGGACAAGGCAGCAGCUUGAAAAGCGCACCAAAGAAUUAAAUUUGGCCAAAGAAAAUGGUAGUAUGAAGGCCCGGCCGAAUUUUGGCGGCAAACGUUUAAGUGGCGUGGAAGAGCUCAGCAUGAGUGAAGCCUACUCAGAGAACGUGAGUCAGUUGAGCCAAUCUCACAGCACCACUUCAGAUAGUCAGAUCACUGUACGCUCUAGUCCCAUUGUGCUUGAUAAGCUAGCAGUCUGUCGUCAUUGUCAUAAGAAUUGCCAGCAAGCCGCUUUGGGUCUUCAACAGUCAAUGUCACCCACUAUGCCCACCUCACAUCCGCAACGAUCGGCCAUUGGCGCAAUGAUCGCCGAAGGUAGUGCAGGUGGUGGUAGUGGCAGCGGACUGGUUUGUACGUCACUAAAGGUGCAACAUAGCCAGUCAUCACCCAAUCGCUGCUGCAGGCUCAAUGGAAAUGCUAGUCAGGCUGGCAGCACCACCAGCAUAUCAUCGAGUACUAUCACGGGCGAACAGCCCAGCGAACAUUCAUCCAAGGUAGUGGCUAGCAGUAGUAAACGGGAGACCGGUGAUACCGAAAGCGAUGUGGCGCAAUUAAUAACUGACGAUCUUUCGCAAUCAGAGGCUACGGACGACAGCAUCGGUGGAAUACCAAGUAGCAGCAGUGGAGUCGCCGCUGCAGAUGAAAUACAACGCCGACUCACCGACAGCUUCAGUAAAUUACGAAUUUUAGACGAACGACGUGAGGCAAAAGGUUUGGAUGCCAAGCCUGGACCACAACCUAUGCCUCGAAUACAGGACCCACAACAUAUUCAUCAGACGGUAUUUAUGAAUGGAUAUUGUUUAUCGAGCUCAUCUAGCGGCGAUAGAGACAACGAAAACAAAGCGGCUAGCGUCAAAAAACCACAGCCACAGCCAAGAACAUACCGAGUUACAUUACAAACUGCUACGAAGGAAACGGCAAAGGAAGCCGCUGACAAAAAGGUGAAAACGACUGUUACCAUUACUGAAACAGCGCAAAUAAUACGUACACAAGAGCAGGACCAGAUGCCGGAGGCGGAAAGCGCGCAUUUUGCGGAUACGAGUCGCAACACUACGAAAAGUUCUAAAUCUCCGCACACGCCUAUCAUGUUGAAAUCCCCCAAGUCGCCUGGCACCCCAGCAUCAGUGUCUCGGUUCAUAGCAUGCAAUUGUCAAUGUACACCCGCUGAUUUUAAAAAUACGACACUCAGCCCUGAUGAGGUAGAACAGCAGACUUGCAAACUGAUUGAUUCACCAAAGCAGUCACCCCAAAUGCCACGUCAACUGCAGUUGCAGGAGUCAGCGAAUAGCAUAAUAAGUGAAAAGACGCUCAAGUACUGCAAGUGCAUUUGCGGUGGUCAAUCGUUGGUUACUGCAAAGGAUGAGCAAUCGUCAUUCCAAUUUAAUGGUUUAUCGGCGAGACAAUUUAAUACAAAAGUCACACCCACUACUCCGCUGCCAACACCAACGUCUACUUCAGCACCAGCACCCCUGGCCGCUCCCAUGUAUGACAGCACCUUCGUGCCGACUAUCGCUGUUGUACCACCCACGCCUGAGGCGAUGCUUACCAUGACCUCGACGAAUGUGUGGGAUAAUAGCGGAACAAAUUUAACAACCAGCACAACAACUCAGCUGCAGCUAAACAACACACCACGACAGGCUGUUAUUGAGAAUAUUCCAGAGGACUCUUGCGAUGAGUCCCCACUAGACGAAGAACCGCCGUAUCGCCCGAUGAGUAAUGCCCUACGGCGCUAUGGUACCAUGUCCAGCUUGGAGAAAUUGCCCUCAGAUGAUCGGAUGGACGAUGAAAUAGACGAACUAGAUAAUGAUGAUGACAAAAGCGAAGUGCCUGACGAUACAGAAGAAGAUGAUGACGAUUUAGAUGAUAAAGCACGAGCCGAUACAGUGGACAAUUUGUGUGAAACCAGCAAGUCUAGCGUAUACAGCAACGAAGUGGUGGCUGGCGGAUCAUGUGUGUUGGUAGGUGGUGUCUGGACAAGUCGAGCAGGCGGACUGGUGGGAGGCAACAAAAUGUCCUUUUUCGAGGAAUCACGAGCAUUUAUCGAUAAAUAUUUAGGAAGGUGGAAUCAAGAACAAACGACUUCUUCACCUGCUGCCACUACAUCCGAAACAGACGAACAAGCCGACGAAUGCACCUCGGGUGCCACAUCUGGAGAGGAAGUGUGGGGAACGCCGACAAGUGGUGGAGACAAUGACGAUAUGCAUCUAGUGAACUCGGAAAAUACAUAUUCAUCGCCUACGAAGUCAAGCAAUUCACUGAAUGAUGAUGACGACACCGAGCUAAUGAUGGAUGAACUUCUUAUGGCGCCACCAAUGACUGCAAGCACCAUUCGAGGACUAUUGCCACGACGUCGCUUAGAGCCACUUUUUGAGGAGGAGACUGAAAGCGAUGAAGAAAAGACCCAGCAGGAAAGUGAUGAUGUUAAAAAGGUGGGGGGAAACAACGACAAAUGGCCACUAUUUAAAGGAUUCAGCUGGAAGCUCAAGCGACGAGGAUCUCUCGAACGAGAAGAGCUACGAAUUGGAGCUGGAGGAGAACGAGAACCAAACGCCAUUCGCCCCGAAGGCACCACAUAUACAUGGUCGUAUUCUACUGCCGACAUCAAUUCCGACGAGCUGGGAGCAGGCGUUCGCACAAUCUCAACCUCCUCAUAUGGCCAACAAGGUAGCUCUGCCAAUCGGUGUUCUGAAGGCCUCAUCUUGCGAGUACCUACUCGAACAGCGUACAAUGGUCCCACUGCGUACAACCAGCAUUACCAGCAGUCCACCAACAGUGAGAGCCACUUCGGCAACGCCAAUGAAAGCAACAACUCCGCCAUUGGCGAAAGUAGAAGUGGAAUUGGAGGCGGCGUCACAACAGACUGUCACGAUGCAAGUGGAGAUGAAAGCGACGAUGAGGAGUACUACUACUAUGAUGAUGACGACGACGCGGACAAUCAAGACGCCACCAUCGCCACGGAAUCAACCUCAUUCAUCGAUUUCUACAACAAUCAACAGCGCGAGCGCCAGUAUCGUGAAAAGCAGCUGCAACAACGGCAGUGGGAGUACCCAAACUACAUCCACAACAACUGUACGACCAGCGAAAUUCGUACCACCGCCGCCUCCACCGCGCCGACUAUUAUUAACACAAACAAAUUUGCAGACAAGUGGCAGGGUAAUGCCGAAGGCGCCAGUACCACCUCAACGAAGUUCUGGCGCUUCUGCUGACGUUGGCUACUCAGCGGUUGUAAGCACCGCCGACGAAAAUACAAAUGCAACCCGCGCAGUCGCUAUGCCUACCACAAAAGUAGUACCGUUGGAAGCGAUGGGGAAGGCGACAGCGAACCAGAAAGCAACCGGUGGCAAUCAGCGCUCUGCUGUCGCCGCCGCCGUUGUACCAACAACCGCAAAGCGGGUGUCUUCAACGAUAAUAGAGACAUCACUGCUGGGGUCAGGCACCAACAAGGCAGCCUCCACAUUAUUAACAACAGCUUCGAAGACGACGAAGGAAUCAUUGCAGGAGGACCGGCAACAACAAGCGCAUCCGUUACAGAAAAUUGCAACCGAAGCAGCGACGAACUCGAUGGUAGCGCAAUACGGCAACGAAAGUUCAAAAUCGGACGUUGUCCCGGCGCCAAUUGGUUCGGGCUUAAGUCCGCGUCUAGAAAUGCGAUUGGCACUCAAUCACGACAUUCUCGGCGACGAAGACUUAAUUUGUUACGAUCCUGGUCCGGAUCUAACAAGAAUUUUGGGGCACGACCUAUCCACAUUUCAGCGACGGACGGGUCGCGAUUUAUUGAGUCGUUCAGCAACAAAUCGCGUUCAGCCAAAAGAGGCUGUCAUAUCGUUCUCUCAACAGCGAAACUCGAAGAUGGACACUCCGACUGUGAACCGACGUCCACGUCCGAGUUACGGCAACGUCAACACUUCUCUAACGACAGGUUUGGUUGGUGGCGCUCGCGUCGGUGGCGUUCCACAACCCCUGCUGCCAAAUCGAAAUACAUGGAGCAAUUCUGUAUCUGCGGAUCGGAACAGCGGCGUCUACGCAAGAGGCGACGAAAGCAGCAAAAGCUACAAUUACAGCAGCGACGAGAGCAAAUUAAGCGAUCUCGAAAUCUUAGCGAGACGAGAGAAGACAUAUUGCAUGUCUCAAUUGAAGAGUGGCUCACGAGUCAAGACGAAGACGACGGCGACAACAACCACAAUGACAAUGGAAACAAUGGGCAUGACGAUCAGCAGAGAUUCCUUGACAAGUCCUCAAGCGACGAGGAAGAGUACUUCUUCGAUGAGCAUGGAGAUUGAAACUGGUAAUGUGCGAUCACGUAAGAUCGGGCGUGAUGAGAGUGCGUUGAUUGAAGCGGGCAAAGGAUCUCGACUAAUUAACUUCAUAAAGCGACGCAACUCGGAAAGCCCGAUCUCUCCGAACUGUUCUCAGAGCUCACUAAGUGAAUCUAACGCAAGUGGUACACCAGUCCAUCGCCUCGCGGUACAAAUGUCACCACGAAAAGAUAAUGACAAACCUUCGCUAAAUCGCCGGCUUUGGAAGCAGAUCACUAAACGACGGCGCGCCAAUUCUAUCUCGGAAGUAGUUGCCAGCUAAUUUUACACACAUAUGUCGUCGUGGGUGCUAAACCGCAUGAGCUAUUCACCGCUACACGUCCCGGGCUAAAUAUAUGCUAUUUCCCUAGUGGUAGAUACCAUUUCCAAAGCGACCUCUAUAGACUUAAAAAAGCGAAAUAAUCGAGAAAGCAAAGUAUUGGGAUAUUUUUUUCUAGAACGUAAGCGUAGUUGUUGUUGCUGUUGUUCAGUAGGACAGGUUACGUCUGGCGAUGAACUGCUUUAAGUUUUAAAAAGUUUGACUUUUCGAAAAAAUAGAGGUACAAUGUUCGGAUAUUUGUAGAAUAAGCGUAUUUUGAUAGAUUUGUAAGCGUCAGAAAUUCAGUUAGUGAAGACAGAGCAUAAGAAAGCGAUCGGUAACGUAAUCAUAUUAUACAGAAACAAGCGACAAAUUAUUUGCUUUUUAAGUAACACCAUAAGCGGUCGGUGAAACAGAAAACGGGAAGAAGAUAUAUUAAGGUUCUGCGUGCAGUAUAUGUGUAGGUAAAUCAGCGUUAAGAAAAUUUUAAAUUCGGAAUAUUUUAUUAAAUAAAGCACAGGUUAUUUUCGGUGCACUUAACAAUAAAUCUCGGGUGUGGGUGCGUGUAAAUCCGAUAAGUUCUACAUGCGGUUUUAGGUAUUUUUUAGUAAAGUUAUGGGAUUUCUAUAUACGAUUAUGCACGUAGAAAACAAAUAAAUAGUAGGUAUGUAACUUUGUCCAAUUUAAUGCAAAUCAGUCCAUUUAUUUGCGCUUCUUGUGCAGUGAUAACACGCUUGUCCAUAAUUUAUUGCACAUGCACACACGUCACUAAAAGACUCAGCAACUUCCUGCCACUGAAGGUUUAAAUAAAGACGAAAGUAGUAACCAAAAGUUUACAUAUAAACUAAAACUUACAGAUAAGAUAAUUUAACUCAAUCUCAUAGAAUAUUUUUUGCUGUUUACCGAUUUUUGGACUUAGACGACUUUUGUUUGGAAUAUUAAUGAAAAUAGUAAAUCAUGAGAUCUACUAUGGCAAUAAAGUACAUGCAAUAAUUUUUAGUUGAGGCUUUUCAUGCAGUUUAGAGCUUUCAUUGAGCUUUCCGGCGAACACGAUAGCUUAAUGCGAUAUUAUUAGCUACACGCUAAGUUGUGGAAAUAUGAAAGAAGCUAUGAUAAUACAUUUUAUUAUUAAUGAUAUUCGAAUACAUCAGAAAUAUAUUAUAAAUUUAAAUUACUUUAAUUAAUAAAUGCAGAGAAUUACUCUGACAUUCAUGCGAAUUUUUAAAUUAAAAAUAAUUAAAUAAAACUCAAGUUUAAGCUUUAAUGACAAAAUCAGUAAAAACAAAAUAUUUCAAAUUUAUUAGGUAUUUUGAAUACAUAACUGCAUUGAUAUUGAAUUAAUUCAAAUUUUACGGUAUUUAAAAUUGGGAAAAGUCCACGAAUGAAAAAUCUAAAAACAUAGAUAUAGAAACAGUACAACUGUUUAUUAUGAAUAACAUAAAUGACUUUAGAGACAUAAGAUUAAUUCAUAAAAAAUGUUUAGAAGAAAAUCAUAUUGCUGUAAUCAAAAUGGAGGUAUUUUAUUAUUUAUCAGAAACCUUCGGUAAUGAUAAUAUUUGAAAGCAAUUCUUUAAUAACGUAAAAUUUUUAAAUCAUUCCUUAAUUGGAAAUACUUAAAUUCUUUACAGAAUAGAUGUUAUGUCGCAAGUUGGUGGUGAGUUUUUGGUAUUUUUACUGUUUAGCACUUUGUUCGUGUGGGUGUCUUUAGUAAAUUUAUGGUCAAGUAAAAUAUUUCGAAAUAUAUAAGAUUAACAUAUGUAUCUAAUGAAAAUUUUACUUUAUUAAUAUAUUAAUAAUUAUUGAAUAUGUAUACAUAUUUAAUAAUCAAACAAGCAAAAAUAAAGUGUAACUAAUUGAAAAA